GCGUUUAUGGUGAAGCCUGGUUAACACAGCUGACUGUGACUCAGUGAUACAUGAGUUCGAAUCUCAUUAAACGCCCCA
This 78-nucleotide transfer RNA is filed under the name Candidatus Malacoplasma girerdii. RNAcentral's name for it is "tRNA-His (GTG) (tRNA-His-GTG-1-1)". It matches the Rfam family "tRNA". From Rfam's summary of the family: Transfer RNA (tRNA) molecules are approximately 80 nucleotides in length. The record is from RNAcentral. Lineage: Bacteria; Bacillati; Mycoplasmatota; Mycoplasmoidales; Mycoplasmoidaceae.